UUAAUACUUAUUUUCAGAUAUUCAGACAAAAAAAAAAGAACAUAUUAUUUAGAUUCAAAAUUUAGGUCUAUUAAAAUUUUAGAUCAACUUAGGUCUAUUCAUAUUUAAGAUAAAAAAAAAAAACAAAUACGGCCUAAGUUAAAUCAUGCAUGAAUAGAAUCCAAACUACCUUUCCACUUGACAAAAGUUAAUUAAAAAAAAAAAAAGUCUACAGGUGAGUAAGAGUUUUAAUGCGAUAUAUUCAAAUCUAUCAAGAAUAGUUCUUGGGCUAAGCAAACACCACUUCUUCUUCUUCUUUUCUUGUUUCUUUUCAAAACUAAUGAAAAUACUCUUAAAUACAAACGUUUCUAUUUUAUUUUUAACCUAAAUUUGAAAAGCAUGAAAACAUGUUAAAUAAGUAAAACUUUUCAAACUAAUUUCUUAAAUUUUAAACAAUUAUGUUCAAGUUUAGAUGGUCAAAGAAGAUAUGAUUCAAUUUGAUGUUCAAAUAAGUGUGUUAUCAUUAAUAGAUCAGUCAAUUUUAUUUACUCAAAUUUGAUUAUGAACCUUUUCAAGCCUAUAUCUAGUCACUUUCAAAAUUACCCAAAAUACGUAGGAAGCAAAAUACACAUGAAGUUGUUUACAAAAUUGGAGUGAAUGCAUGAAGCUAUAGUAAUGGAAUUUGUGUUGGUUUCAGGCUGAGUUUGGUGACCUGAACCUAUCAGCAAGAAGAAGCAUGAAGCAUGAAGUAUUAGCCGGCCAAAGCCCUAAGUCAAAGAAUGUAAAUGGGAAUCCAUGCAGAGUUCAAAUUUAGGUACAUGAAUGCAAACCCUAGCCCCAUUAAAUUAAUUAAAAAAUGUAUAUAUUAUUACUUUAUGUUCAAAGCUUUUGACUUAUGCAGUGAAGGAAAGAGAGGUUAAUGGGAAUACAAAUAAACUAAUUAAAUGGGCUAUCAACGUCAGACAAGCAGUAGGUAGCAUGACAAAUAUAAUGAGAUAAUUAGUUAUAUAAUCGUUAAUCAAUUAACAGUUUUUUUUUUUUUGUCAUUUAAAAAAAAAAAAAAGGUUCAUUGUUUUGGUUGAAUAAUUAUGUCAUCUUAUUAAGAAGCAAAAGAACGCAGAAGUGAGUGUCGUUCAUUUGUUUUGUGGAUAAUUAUAACUGUUGUAAAAUUGUCUUGUGUGGGGAAAUUUAAUUGUUAAAUUCUGAAAUCAAUUGUUUUAGAGUUGUAUUUAGAUGAUAAGCAUAAAAAUGAUGAGUUUUCCUCUAGAUCUUGUAAUUAGAGGUCGUACUCAUUCAAACUUGAAAUAAGUAGAACUACGAUAUAUGUUUGGCAAUGAUAUGAAAGUAAAGGGAAAUGUUUUAGAUAGUUUUUAAAAUUAGAGAGACAUAUUUACCUCAAAUCUAAAAAAACUAAAAGAGCAUCUAUCCUAAGUACAUGUUAAUCUCUAUUGAUUUAAUGAUAAUAAUCUAAUAGAUUAAUUUUGGCGUCUAUUCAGACUCAAUCAGCUAUAUACAUUUAUAGUCAACUUAAAAAUUUACAGAGUCCAGCCAAAAAAAUAUACUUCUAUUACAAAUUUUUGUGGAAAGGUUCGAGCUUUUGCCCUGUUAAACCCUAUUUUAUGUUUAAAACCUAUCAAAAACUCAAUUUUUGUUAAACAUUGCCCAAAGAUAAAAUCUAUUAAAAGCAUUGCAAAAAGUGCUUUUAAAAUCCCAAUAAUUAAAUUAUCUUUGGGCAAAUUAACUCGAAUAAAAAGACCCCAUAUGAAUCUGCAUGGCUGGUCUUGAACUGUCACUAUUAACAGAUGCCAUGGUUCACUGUAACACAACUCCACUCAAUCCUAAAUGAAAUGAGUCCUAGUACUUAGACAGUUAAGACACCUUGGAAUCAAUGAAUCUCCCUUAAAAAAUUAGCGUACAUUGAGCUCCAAUCAAACAAACAAAUAAUUAUUUAAUUAAUGAAACCAAUUAUAUUUCAUGGUACCCUAUUCAUCAGCAUUCAUCAGUUGGUCUUGAACUGUCAUACACGUGGCAGAUGUCAAUUGACUCUGCACUUCUUCGACAAAACAAGUCAAACAAUUUGUUAAUCAAACCAAAUAUGUCAUGCAAUAAAAUACACAUUUUCAAUGUUUUAAAUAAUGCAACAAACCGACAAAUCAGAAAUGCCGGUUUUAGGAGAUACUAAUAUAACUUUAUUAACCGACCUUUAUUUGCAAGCAAGCUCACAUCCUCAGACAAAUAUAAAAUUAAAAUUAAAAUAUCCCCAGUAGCUUGUCAUAAAUAAAAAUAAAAAUUGAGGAUUAAUUAGUAAGCUAAAGCUAAGGUAAGACAGUUAAGAUUCUGGCCGACUUUUCUUGGGUUUGAGAGAAUGACAGCCAACAUACAGAACGUAAAUAGUCGGCGCAGUUCAUUUGAAUCAAUAUUAUUAUUGGAAUUUGGAUUUUUAAGUUCAUUUUUUCGCACGAGAAUUUUAUAGAUUUGGUCAUCGAAUCUUCUUAAUAAUCUUAAGUUUAUUGUACUCUCUACUAGGCAAGCGGUUGACGAAUCAUUUAAGCAAAAAUUUUAACGUAUAGAUCCUAGCGCUACUAGCUUCAUCAACUUGCCAUUUUGUUGAGAGAUAUUUUAUACAAUUAUAAUUAAUUAUGCAAUUGUGGCAUUUCUAAUUCGGAAAUAUUAACGAACCUAUACCAAAAUAUUUUAUUAAACUCUCACAAUUAUUUCAUCGUAUGUGAUUCAAGCAUGAGGUCCUUUAUGAAGUCAAACAAUUUGAUUAGUUAACUUGAUUGUUUGCUUCUUCUUUGUUAAAACAUAAGUUCUUUAAAGAUGGUGUCUUUUUUUUUCUUUUUUCUUUUUAUCAAUAUAUUAGACAAUAAAAGAGUUCUUUAGAGUAGACACCUACGUUUUAAAUUGUAAAUUUGAGAUUUCGACAAUCACUUAAUGUUUAGUUAUGAUAUUAUCUUAAACUAUGUAAUUAAAUUACAAUAUGUAACUUCAAAUUUGUAUUUUGGAAUGAACAAACUUAUGCACUAAUAUUUUUUUCCACCGGAAUAUCUAAUAUCGUUUUGGAACCACAACAGGCAAGUUCUGUUUGAAAGAAACAUUUUGAUAGUACCGUCUAGCUUAGCUUCAAUAAAAUACUAAAUUAUUAGAUUUCAGAAUCUAUAUUUAUCGUAUUAAAUUAUAAUAAGUCAAAAAUAAAUUCUAAAAUUCAUAUUUUUAAAAUGUGUAAUGGAUGUCAAUGUGAAGAACACUUUCUUGAGUAAUAUAACGUUAUUUUUUUAAUCAAAACUAAUGCAUAUUUGAUUCACACAUUU
Molecule: long non-coding RNA, 3290 nt
Filed under: Citrus x clementina
Lineage: Eukaryota; Viridiplantae; Streptophyta; Magnoliopsida; Sapindales; Rutaceae
Description: Citrus clementina (C. clementina) long non-coding RNA (CCLE_LNC003245)
Source: RNAcentral